AACGAACGCUGGCGGCAGGCUUAACACAUGCAAGUCGAGCGCACUCUUCGGAGUGAGCGGCGGACGGGUUAGUAACGCGUGGGAACGUGCCCUUCUCUAAGGAAUAGCCUCUGGAAACGGAGAGUAAUACCUUAUACGCCCUUUGGGGGAAAGAUUUAUCGGAGAAGGAUCGGCCCGCGUUAGAUUAGAUAGUUGGUGGGGUAACGGCCUACCAAGUCUACGAUCUAUAGCUGGUUUUAGAGGAUGAUCAGCAACACUGGGACUGAGACACGGCCCAGACUCCUACGGGAGGCAGCAGUGGGGAAUCUUGGACAAUGGGCGCAAGCCUGAUCCAGCCAUGCCGCGUGAGUGAUGAAGGCCUUAGGGUCGUAAAGCUCUUUCGCCAGAGAUGAUAAUGACAGUAUCUGGUAAAGAAACCCCGGCUAACUCCGUGCCAGCAGCCGCGGUAAUACGGAGGGGGUUAGCGUUGUUCGGAAUUACUGGGCGUAAAGCGCACGUAGGCGGAUCAGAAAGUAUAGGGUGAAAUCCCAGGGCUCAACCCUGGAACUGCCUUGUAAACUCCUGGUCUUGAGUUCGAGAGAGGUGAGUGGAAUUCCGAGU
RNAcentral lists this ribosomal RNA (600 nucleotides) under uncultured bacterium. RNAcentral describes it as "bacterial SSU rRNA". It matches the Rfam family "Bacterial small subunit ribosomal RNA", at positions 28 to 674 of the family's 1533-position model. The record is from RNAcentral.